UGAAUAUUUUAACAAGGGGUUUUGCAUGUAAAAGUCUCAUCGUGGUAAUUACAUAUAUUUUAUUAUAUAUCCAGCAUGGAAAUAAACAUAUAUAGUAUAAUAUUGUGGACGAUUAUGGACUUUACUAUCUAAUUUUUCCAAGCCAUAUGAAAGUCUAGUUGGUCAGUUUCUAGAGAUUUGCAUUGACUAAUAUAAUGCUCCAUCUCUAUAGUCUCCUCCUCUUCUUGUUUCUUUAUUAAGUCCAGCUGCAGUCAGUAUCCUAUACUAGUUGGUACGUAGGCCCAUAAUAAUUACAACAGACUCGCAUGUCCAACAUAAAGACAAGCAUGUUGUUCCACAGAAAUUUAAAGGCAUUCCCUUAUUUGCAUGCUGCAAAUUUAUCUAGAUUGGAUAUAAAGAAGUUUGGUUUGGCUUUGAGGUUGAACUAUAUGAAACAAUGGAAGCACAAAUCUUUAACACAAGCAUGUACUAGGGUAAUCAAAAUCAUUUUCUCUGAAAGUUCAGUCUAUGUACACCAGUUCCUUCACAUGACACUACAUUCACCAUAUAAGAUUUCUAAGUGUUUAAAAAUCCAAAGAAAAGGUUUUUUAAGAUAAAUUAAAUAAGUACCCAAAAUGUAAUUAUCUAAGCUAAGUUAUUAAGUUCUAACCCUUUGAACAAGAUGUAGAUUAGCCAUCCAAAGUCCUAAAAUGAUUUCUUCCCGAGGAGUGGAGUUAAUUGCUUGAAGAGUCUUAACUAAACCUGCAAAACUAAAAUUAAAACUUACAUGACGCAAGCACUAAAACAAGUACAUGUAUCGACUUUUGUUGAGGUUUAUGACAGAAAUCACUUCACCAACAAUCAUUUCAAUUGAACUAGUUGAAUUAACUAGAUAAUCGUCCAUUGCAUCUUCUAGGAGCAAAUCAAAAAGAAGCCAAAGAGCAGAAUGACUAACUCUAAGACAAAGACCAGCAGAACCAUUCAGCGACAUAGAUUGUAGUAUACCAUGAAACUCUUGCAAUGAAUUUUUUUGACAAUAAUAAGAUGUAAGUUUGCACUUAUCUGAUAUCAAAUGUAAAAGAUCCUCCAGUGUCUUGACUUCUGAAUUUCUCAAGGCUGAAGAAUUUGUUACAAGCAGUUGAAUUCGCUGGAUAAAACUUCCUUAUUGUGUGUACCAAGUGAAGGGACAAAAAAGUUUUUAUGCAAUGUCUAGGAAUAAUCUCUGAACGAUACAUAGGAGUCAAGAAAUCAACAUAUAAUUUUUAGGCCUCCCAUCCAUUUAACCUAUUCUAGAAGAAUCAAAAAGGAUGGAAAGUCGGCUGGAAUGAAGGAAUUACCGCAUUCUGUUACAAGAGCAAGUGGGGGGAAAUAAAUCGGUUUGGAGUCUAUAAAUUGAUCCAGAGAGGAAAGGAUAGGAAGGUAAUUUUUAGUGAGUGAUAGUGGGUGGAUGAGAGUAGAGCCCUUUCAAACUGUAGUUUGUCUUCUAAUAAAUAAAAUUCAGCUUAUUAUAUGAUGCUGCCCUUUUUACAGCUUAGUUCCUAACAAAUUGCUACCAAAGCAUGUUCGAUCAAAUGGCCUAGAAGACAAGAGAAAACAGGAUGGAAACUAUGGAAGAGGAGGUAGAAGAAAUAAAGUUCACAGUUCAUCGCUUGUCAGGACUCGAGAAACCAGUGGAAAACAUCACCCAAAUUAUGGCCAAAAUUUUGCAAUCAAUGGAGGAUACCCAAAAGGUUGUGGCAGCCCCCAUUAAUCCUAAACUGGUACUGAGCAGAAACAUGGCCGAUUUUGGGCUGAGGCAAGUGAGGCCCUUGCCUUAGGCCCAAAAUUUAGGGGGCCUUUUUUUUCUUUUUUUUUAAAUACCUAAUUUCUAAUUUUUGUCUUCUUGUGAUUUGAACCGGUUGCAAGAGGAGAGAAACCAAUAAACAAAUGAAAGAGUCCAGACAGUUCUUGAAUGGAAAUCAAAAAUAAAAAAAAAUGUUUGGAUACACACAUUAAAUUUUCAGCAUCUACUUUGUUUCCUCUCUCUUUAUUUCACGCUUCUUGCUUCAAUAUAUUUAUCGGGGUUCAAUUUUAUUUUUAUUUUUGUUUGCUUUUCUAUUUUCUUGCAGUUCUUCAGAUUAUAGCUUCUUCUUAAAUUUUCAGUUUUACAUCCUUAUUUGAUCUUUUUUCUGAUUUUUUUUUUUUUUAGAUUUCAUUACUUUAAUCUUUUGCUAUGUUAUUUUUUCACUAGUUCUUUUAAUUUUCAACUAUUAUUUUCAAUUCAUUUCAUUUACAACAAUAAAUUAUGUCUUAUUGGUUCUUUAUAUAUAUAUAUAUAUAAACUUAACAGGUGUUCAAUGGAAUUAGUAGACAGCACAAAAUUAGUUUUUUACACUUUCAUUAUCAGUCAACCCUAUUGAAUUUCUUGUUUUAGCUGUAAAUUGAAAGUUUCUUUACCUGUUUGUUUGAUGAUUCUUUCGUUCUUCUUUUAGUUUUUGCCUCUAGACAAUGUGAAUAGUGCAAUUAAAGGACAAUUUUAUGCACAUAAGAACUUAAAAAGUGUAAAUUGUAAUAACAAUGAAAUAGUGAUGAUAUUAAUUUGUUCAUUUUUUAAGUUUAGUGAUUGACUUGCAAGACAAGAAAUAAAAUGGAGACUAAUAGAAUGAUUUUUCGUGGGGGCAGGAUCCAAAAUCUGCAUAAUUCAUAGUAUUUACUUGAUCAUUUGGAACAUUUUUGCAUUGUUAUUUGAUUAUAAAAAUAAUUUUUAGAAUGAGCAUGUUUGAACCCUAAUUUUGGUGUACGAUGUAUUUUGGAAUAGUAUAUUAAUGGAGAAUGUAUGGUUAAAAAGUAAGAAAAUGUUUGCUUUUUUUUUUUAAGGUAUUUUUUUAUUUUUUGGUAAAAAAACUAGUUUUUUAUGUGUAAAAACUUUUUUUUUCCACGUAGUAUCCCGGUUUGAAAUUUUUUAAUCCGAUCUUCGGUCCAAUCCUGGAUCCGUUCCUGUUGGGGGCCUACUUUAUGAAGUUCGUCUCAAACGCCCAAAAUCACAUGACCGGCACUAAGCAGAAAGGUCAAUGAAGAUGGUUUUGUGAACCUCACAGAAGGGCAAGUCGCAAGGAACGCACACAGGACUGAUCACAGAACACUAGACAGAGGAAAAUGGCUGGUAGGUUCACGGGAUGUUGAGAUUUCGAUGCUACAGAGGCUUAACCUUUUAGAUCCGCUGGAGAGGAUUGUCAUCACUAGCAUGCAAUCCGAAAUUUGUAGAGAAGAAGAACUGAUGCUUGAUCCCAGAUUGGGCCAGAUAAUAGAGUUGGCACUUAAGUUGGAGGAUAAACAGGUUACCCUCAAACAGACCUAAAUUAGAUUAGGUUCAAUCCACUGUAAAGGAGCUGUUUUUAAUUACAACCCAAUUAUCAAUAAUGAGCCCAAGUCGAAGCAAAUGUCCUGGCCUAUUUUCACAGGAACCCAGCUUCUGGUUAUAACAAGAACAUGACCCAUAUCUCUUCAAUCCUUUGGCUAAAUUGGUUUCUAAUAUCUCCAUGAUACAUCAAAUUCCAAAUGUAUUUGUCAUCAUGUAAACUUUGGCCUCUGUUUGACAAACAUUGUAAUGAGAAAUUUGGAUAAAAUGUGUUUUGGAAUAUUAGUUUUUGGGAGAAUGAAUGGUUUAAAAAAUGUAUUAAAAAUUUAAUGGAACCAAACAAGGGCUUAAUAUUAUGUGUUUGAUGUGAGGUGUGAAAAAUAAAUCAUUACAAGUCACUUCCACUUGAUCACAUAAAACUAGAAAAGAUUAAAAAUGUAUAUAACUUCUAAAAUUAACUACUAAUGACAGAGUUCUGACAUGUUUUAUUGUGCCAAGUAAAUAAUUCUGGAAGCUACUUUGUAUUGCAGAAACUGCCCAAUUCAACCCAAUGGCGAUAAUCUCUCUGUAUGGUCAUCCUUCUUCUCAAAAUAACUAGGGCCGGCCCCAAGAAUUUCGAGGUCCUAGACGACUAAUUAUUACAAGACCCCCCUUAUGUUUUGCAAAUUAUUUUGUGAGUGUUAUACUCGAUUUUUAUUUUCCAGUAACUAUUUUUUAUAGUUUCAUGAUGCUCCAAGUUAAUGCUAAAAAUUAUAUCUCACAGAGCAAUUAUAACAUCAUACAUAAACAGGCAAAAAUCAAGUGCAAAUACAUCUUUUAAAAGGUUAAUUCGAAAGUUAUCAUACUGACCUACUCUUUCUGGGGUAUUAUCAAUUACUUCCAUCUUAUUUGCCAUUUCGUAGGGGCAAAAACCAUUGUUCAUGAGCAACAAUAACGUGUGACACCCGUUACCCUUUAGAACUAAUGAACCUAUCCUAGUUGGAUAAAUAUUUCGAUUCACAAUUUCUUCUAAGUAUCUUAAAUUUUCCUAAAUGAACAAGACAACACAAACCUCUAAUACAGACGGAUCUAAAUUUUCCUGAUCUAAGCUCCAUUAAUUUCUCAAGUUUUAAUUGAUUGAAGUCAGUAAUACAAUUUUCAACUUUUCUUUCAGACUUUUUCAACCCAAAAUCAAAAAUUCAAAAAAUAUGAAGAUUCAAGAACAUAUAUCUCGUCAAAAAAAAUACUAAAAAAAGAACACAGCGACAAUAUAAAAUUUUACCUUAGCUUAGUUUUCUGAGAUUUUUGGAAGUCUUCAUCGGAACCAAGAAUUUCUUGUGUGAAUAAAGGACUCGGUCCAAUUUCUCUAAAGUGACGAUAAAUGCAACAAUAGUGUGGGAAUUAAUAGAUUUUCUAGUGGAGAUUACGAGAGAAAUCAGUAACACUUCCUCUUCCGUCCUGUUCCCGUAAGGCUGUAGCCUAAGGUAAACGAAUGAUUUUUUAAGAGAUUUGGUGGGUUCUAGAUUAGGGCAAUUUUUGGGGUCGAAUUUUGCAUGAGGCCCCUAAGAAUGUUGAGGCCCUAGGCAAUGGCAUAGUUUGCCUUGGGCUAGGGCCGACCCUGAAAAUAACCAUCGUGGCCAAUUCGCCAUCUAUAUCCAUGUCUUGAAAUUCAGUUGGCCACUUAGAUUGCUUCUCUGGAGUAAGGUCCCUCAUCAUCUAAUGAUGCAUUAACUAACUGCGAAACAAUUGAAAAUACGAACUGGACCAAAUGAACGCUGAGUGAAUAUGUGAGAGAAAUUAAGGAUAGUAUCAAAUGAAUUCAUGAUCCUGCAUCGAGACGAGAGGUAAGAAAUGUUAGUCAUAUACGACAGCUCAUACCAGUUGUGCAUAUAUCCCAAUUGGUUCAUACCAUAUUUAG
Molecule: long non-coding RNA, 5213 nt
Filed under: Olea europaea (common olive)
Lineage: Eukaryota; Viridiplantae; Streptophyta; Magnoliopsida; Lamiales; Oleaceae
Description: long non-coding RNA (OEUR_LNC007619)
Source: RNAcentral